GCAUUGCACUCUGCACAUAUCAUCUCCAUGUCUCUGUCGAGUGCACCGACAUCAAUUCCUAGAAAUAUCUUUUUUCUGCCCGACUUAUUAGCACAUACACGGUUAUGUCUUGAGUUUGGGGCUCAAAGCGAAACCCCCUCAUUAACCAACCGUGAAGGCCGCCAAAACUCCUAUCAACAGGUUUUUCAAUGCCCUUAACGUUGUACCUGAAUUGACUUAAAUCUACCCUAUAUGGACCAUACAUAAUGUUUUCUUCACCAUGGUACAACCGAAAUUGUACUUUAUUUGCCAUACAUGCAAUGGGAAUAGACUAUAUUUUUAACACACACUGUAGCACACUACGAGUAUGCACGUACAAGAUAACUAAUACCACAUCAGUGUACUUUAACUAAUCAUUAGGACACAUGUUGACUAAUCAUAACAUGCAUGUCAAUUAUACUAUGUACUACUACAUUGUAACAUGAUCGAGUAGAUACGUUGUAAUCUUAAUCUUAAUAUAUUAUGUAACAAACUUAUUGCAAACUUUAUUCCUAACUAGAUCAAAACCUACCUAGAUUUUUUUACUAAACUAACUCCUAAUUUACUAUGUCACUACUUUAUUGCAAAGUAAAUUUCUACAAAAAAACACAUUGCACAAUAAAUAAAUCAUCAUAUUUUUACUACAAGUGACAAUUAUUUCAUACAUAAAAGGAUUUCAAAUACUUACAUGAGUUGGACACAAAAAUCCGGCGGUGUACCUCCCCUUCAUAUGAUAUUCUGGUCGGCACCAUGUCUUCUCCUUCCUCCUCUUCCUCAUGUCCAACUCCUUCUUCAUCUUUAUUACAUGAGUCAGCUUCAUCUCUUCUUCGACUAGGUCCCUCAUCCUCGUGGGUGGUC
This 876-nucleotide long non-coding RNA is filed under the name Oryza brachyantha (malo sina). RNAcentral describes it as "long non-coding RNA (OBRA_LNC001937)". The record is from RNAcentral. Lineage: Eukaryota; Viridiplantae; Streptophyta; Magnoliopsida; Poales; Poaceae.